RNAcentral lists this ribosomal RNA (685 nucleotides) under uncultured archaeon. RNAcentral describes it as "bacterial SSU rRNA". It matches the Rfam family "Archaeal small subunit ribosomal RNA", at positions 1 to 653 of the family's 1478-position model. The record is from RNAcentral.
UUCGCCCUUUUCCGGUUGAUCCCGCCGGACCCCACUGCUAUCGGGAUAGGACUAAGACAUGCUAGUCAAGCGCUUUCUAGCUAAUGUGAGAGCGCGGCGUACAGCUCAGUAACACGUGGCCAACCUGCCCUUGGGACGGGAACACCCCCGGGAAACUGGGGUUAAUUCCCGAUAGGUGAAGAAGUCUGGAAUGAUUCUUCGCUCAAAAGACGUUUAUGUCAUGCUCAUAUUCGUCGCCCAGGGAUGGGGCCGCGACCGAUCAGGUAGUUGGUGAGGCAAUGGCUCACCAAGCCUUUUACCGGUGCGGGCCGUGAGAGCGGGAGCCCGGAGAUGGGCACUGAGACAAGGGCCCAGGCCCCACGGGGCGCAGCAGUCGCGAAAAUUUUGCAAUACACGAAAGUGUGACAGAGCUAUCCCGAGUGCCAUCCGCUGAGGAAGGCUUUUACCCAGUAUAAAUAGCUGGGAGAAUAAGGAGAGGGCAAGUCUGGUGUCAGCCGCCGCGGUAAUACCAGCUCUCCGAGUAGUGUGGACGUUUAUUGGGCCUAAAGCAUCCGUAGCCUGCUAGAUAAGUCCUCUGUUAAAUCCACCGAUUCAAUCGUUGGAUUGCGGGGGAUACUGUUUGGCUAGGGGACGGGAGAGGUCGACGGUAUUUCCGGGGUAGGGGUGAAAUCCUAUAAUCCCGGGA